GCGGAAGUGGUGAAAUUGGUAGACACGCUAUCUUGAGGGGGUAGUGCUCUUCUGGGCAUACGGGUUCAAGUCCCGUCUUCCGCA
This 84-nucleotide transfer RNA is filed under the name Melioribacteraceae bacterium. RNAcentral's name for it is "tRNA-Leu". It matches the Rfam family "tRNA". Rfam says of the family: Transfer RNA (tRNA) molecules are approximately 80 nucleotides in length. Their secondary structure includes four short double-helical elements and three loops (D, anti-codon, and T loops). The record is from RNAcentral. Lineage: Bacteria; Pseudomonadati; Ignavibacteriota; Ignavibacteria; Ignavibacteriales; Melioribacteraceae.